RNAcentral lists this ribosomal RNA (253 nucleotides) under uncultured bacterium. Its description in RNAcentral is "partial 16S ribosomal RNA". It matches the Rfam family "Bacterial small subunit ribosomal RNA", at positions 524 to 776 of the family's 1533-position model. The record is from RNAcentral.
UACGUAGGUGGCAAGCGUUAUCCGGAUUUAUUGGGCGUAAAGGGAACGCAGGCGGUCUUUUAAGUCUGAUGUGAAAGCGUUCGGCUUAACCGGAGUAGUGCAUUGGAAACUGGGAGACUUGAGUGCAGAAGAGGAGAGUGGAACUCCAUGUGUAGCGGUGAAAUGCGUAGAUAUAUGGAAGAACACCAGUGGCGAAAGCGGCUCUCUGGUCUGUAACUGACGCUGAGGUUCGAAAGCGUGGGUAGCAAACAGG